RNAcentral lists this long non-coding RNA (2571 nucleotides) under Phoenix dactylifera (date palm). RNAcentral's name for it is "long non-coding RNA (PDAC_LNC005357)". Lineage: Eukaryota; Viridiplantae; Streptophyta; Magnoliopsida; Arecales; Arecaceae. The record is from RNAcentral.
UUUUUUCCAGUAGUAUGUACGAUGCUAGAUUGAUUCCUUGCUUUCUAACAUCACUGAUUUCACAAGCAGGUCAAUUUCUUGCUGUUAAGUACUCUCUUCCAAGGUAAAGUACCAAGGUCUGAAGAAGUGUAGUGUGACCGCCAGGACAUGGCUGAAUGCUUGUAACUAUCCCAGGAUGUGCAAGUCACUGAAAUCUCUUAAACAGAACAGAAUGACAAGUUUUCAUCUAUGCUGCAAAAUGGACUCUGAACUAUUAAUUUAACAGCAGUCUUUUUAUUCAGAAAAGGGUAACUGCAGUAGCUGGCGAUCUGAAAAGAUAUCAGGAAAUUGCAUGAAAUUGAUGAUUUUUCAAGCAAGCAAAUUCUCAAGUAUCACCCAUAUGAUUUUAAAGUUUUUACUAGCUAAUGAGCUACAAAGGAUAUUCUUUAAAGCACAGUCACCAUAUGCUUAUGUGUUCAUUGAUGCAUAGGAUAUGGAAGUUUGAUGAGAUGAACAGCAAUUAGAUAUCAUAAACAUUAAAAGAAACCUUUAUACCUCAUUCAUGCACUUGAAUUUGCCUGACUGUUAUCUACCAAAAUUUAUUAUAAGGUGGCAGAUGAGUCCUAGCUCUAGGUCACUAUUGAAGGCCUUUUUGUUUGGAUAGUUCGGUCAGAAAACUAUAACUCUGAUAAACUAUGAUAUACUUUUGAAUGUUCCAAACAGAAGAUAAAAUACCAAUAAUACCAUACUAUACUAGACAAUGACUGCAGAACUGCAACAAGAACCUAGAAUCUCUUUCUGGGCUCAACUCCGCUGAAGUUACUGAAAAAAUAAGCUGUACUGCAGAUGAACAUCAUAAUGUUUAGAUUCGCUGAAGCGGUGUUAUUUUUUCACAUACACUUUUGUAGGAUAGAUCCAGGAUAGUUACCAGAGUUACUGUCCUCCCUUCUCCGGAAGCACACUAUCAUGCAAUUAUUUCAUUAAUUCCAAAGCCUAAAUUCUCUAAUAAGAGCAAUUUUAGAUUUUCUACUCUUCCCACACAUUGAAUUUCAUCUUGAGAUCAUUGCUUUUCCAUAAGCAAUGGGAGGUAGUUUAUCAUUGCUUACAAAGUAAUUCUGAUCAGAUCAUCGAAUUUAUGGAGUCUUCCAAUUUCAAGCACCAUCUUCUUUUACUGUUAAGAAUGACUUUUACUGGAUACUUUAGUUCGGCAUCCAUGUAGAUCUAAAGCCCUGGCAUCCCCAUUCAAAGCUAGUGAAGAAGAAAAGAUAUUUCAAUCUUUCAGGAAGAGGAUCAAGUGUCAUCUCCUCUGGAAGCUGAUAGGAUUCCCACUGAAUUUACUCUUACGCUACCUAAGUUUAUUUUUACCAUAAAAGUAUCAGUAUUUAUCUAGAAUUUUUCAGAUUCAUGUGCUGAAGCAUAUUCUGUUUUCUAAGUGCUUCUUAACCCCUGNNNNNNNNNNNNNNNNNNNNNNNNNNNNNNNNNNNNNNNNNNNNNNNNNNNNNNNNNNAAGCCAUCUCCUGAUAAGAUUUCUUAGGAAGGAGAUAACUUAAAUAUGCAACAGUAGGAGGCUCUGCUAUCCAAAUAGCUGAUUUCCUACCAAAGAUCAAUUAUAAGCAAACUCUUCUCGUACCUCAAAUUUUAGUAUGUGAAAGGUUUUUGCAGAUGUUUCAUUUAAAAAUUGAUAUAUAGAGAACUUGAAAUCUUAGCAAAUCAGGCAUCGCUCCCUUCAUCUACAUUUGUUCCCUUUUUUUUGGGCUGCACAUGUUUCUCCUCUUUAAGAGGCAUUUGAAAUAAUUACUUUAGAGCUUGAUGACAGUCAAGAAGGAACUUAUUAAGUUCAGAAACUUGCUUAUGAAACAGUUGCUCUUCCUAUGACGCAGAUAAUUGAAUUGUUGUAAGCAUAUGAUAAACUACCUCCCAUUGUUGCAGCUGAAAACCUCUUAUCAGAAUUACUUUGAUGGUUAAAAAUAAUCUUAUGGAAAACUACCUUGAGAUCAUUGAAUUUCAUCUUGAGAUCAUUGCUUUUCCAUAAUCUUGUCAGGUAGUUACUAAUUCAGUUAGGAUGUUUCAGAAUCCAAAUUAUUUUCAACAUACUUAUCAGCGAACAAGAAAUAGCAACAAAAUAAUAAAAAAUAAUAAUUGUUCAAUGUGCAUCAACGAUCAUACUUAUCAGGGUUGCCGAGUCGAUCGAGGUUUGAGGGCUGCUCGGACGGCGCCGGAGAGGAGGGAGGAGGAGGAGAUCCUCGGGCGGAGGCAAAGCUAGAGAAUCUGUAAAAAAAGAAAAAAACACCCACGAACACACGAACAAGAAGAGGCGGAGAAGGAGGAGAACAAGCGAGAAGGAGGGAGAAGAGGGAGGAGGAGAAAAAUACCUCAGGUGGAAGAGAUCGGGGUUGGUCGGUCGGCGCCGGAGAGAAGGGAGGAGGAGAGGAGGUUGGAAUCCGACGGUCGGCACCGGAGAGGAGGAAGACGGUUGACUAGGGCAGUGCCGGAGAGGAGGAAGACGGAAGCCGGAGAGGAGAAAUAGGGGAAGUAGCCAGCGCAGAAUGAGGGUUCGAUCGGGGUCGGGCGCUGAGUUUUGAGGGAUUCUAN